Molecule: long non-coding RNA, 6411 nt
Filed under: Sus scrofa (pig)
Lineage: Eukaryota; Metazoa; Chordata; Mammalia; Artiodactyla; Suidae
Description: lncRNA (ENSSSCG00015032891.1)
Source: RNAcentral
UUUUGUUUGUUUGUUUUUUUUCUUUUAGUUGAUUUUGAACUUCUGGUACCAGGAAACCCAAAACUAUCUUCUCAGAAACCAUUUUAAAUAGUCUUUCGCAGGGCAUGUGAAGUGUGGAUCAGAGUGGGUUCAGUGUCAGACAUUGCGGUGACUCCAAGUGACUUGUGUCCUCCCCGCUUGGAAGCAGCAUCGUUUGGAAGAACUGGUGUCCCUUAGCAAUUCCUUGGAUUAGAAUUCUUCCAACAAAUGCAGUGGGUGCCAGGGCUGAGUGAGGUUAUCCUUUCCCGUGAAUUUUUAUGAGAACAUUUAUGUCAGCGUAUGCUUCGGCAGACACAUCUGGUCUGCUUUCCGAUGAGCGACAAGAUGCUGACAAAUCAGCAGUUCCUUGCUCCUUCAGUAGCAAGUAGCAAGUUCAGAAGGUGAAGAUGUUCCUCUGGUCUCAACGUAGACGGCUGGUCCUGAGAAAUUCCAAUCUGCUCCCUGUGUCCUGAUGGUACAGACAGCUGACUAUUUUGUUUCAUCCAGUGGCUCAACCUUGGACGUUGUCUCUGCUAGGGAAAUUGAGCCAUUGCCUGUGAUUCCCACUUUUUGGCAUGCAGUUCUGAGCUGAAGGUUGACCUCUGAUGUAUUUUGUUCCUUGGAACUUUUUGGAGGUAAUUAGUUCAGUUAGAACUAAUUACAAGGGGUACGCUUUUUCUUUUGUUUUGUAUAACCAAGAAAAAAAAAUAUUUGAAUUGCAGCAAGCUGGGAGUGCAGUGAACAUUACAGAUGCAUCUCAUUUAUAGCUUAUUUAAUUUAUUUAAGCCUCCUUAACAUAGCUUAUUUUAAAACAAGUGGUUUCUAAACUUUUCUGAUUGCUUCUUGAACAUGUCUCUAUCUUUGAUAGGUGUACAUUGAUGUAUACAUAAACAUCUGUAACAAUGCAUUCAUAUAAUACACACGCACACGUAUAACAUAAACUAAAAUAGUGUAGACAGUUACCUUAAAAUUAAAAUUAAUAUCGAGGUUCUCUUGUGGGUGCAGCGGGUUAAGGAGCCAGCGCUGUCACUGCCACAGCUUGGCCUGUUGCUGUAGCGCAGGGAGGGUUAAUCCCUGGCCCUGGAACUUCCACAUACUGCAGGUGUGGCCAAAAAUAAAUAAACAAGUAAAUAAAUAAAUAAAAUUAAUAUAAAUAGCAGUUUUAGUGUUAUUCUUCUCCCACUCCGAUAGAAUGUCUUGUGUGUCGCUUAGGAUCUGUGCAUCUGGUUUUGGAAAUGACUGCUUGUCUGUGUGUGGACAAGGCAAAUAGGAAAUGAAAUGUCUGAGCCUUCUGUGAGGAAGCACCCUUGUUUCAAAUCCACAAGGAUUGAACUUUCUCUCCUUGCACUUGUCUUAGCAUACACUGCUCUGACAGGUUCCUCCUCCUGCAAGGGAGGCGGAGUGGUAGCGUGGAAAGAGAAUCAAUAAGCCUUUUGGAGUGUUGAAAUCGCAGCUCUGCCAUUACCUAACCUUGCGACUUUGUACAAGUAGUCUGACCUCUUUUACCCUUCAUUUUCAGAGAUUGGGAGGAUCUCAGGCCAGAAGGACCAAAAGAAUGUGCAAUGAAACAUCCUUUCCCUGACCAAGUGUCAGGUAUUUUCAGAUCUAUUCUGAGAAGUUGGUGUGUUUAAGAAGGAUCAAGAUAUUCCUUGGUUGAAAGGGAGGUAGUGUCGGAACUCUGAAACUCACCAGAAAAUAAAGCAGGAGAUACCUGAAAGUGACUUUCAGUGCCUCAGUAUCAUCCACAACAUCCCAAGAGGGGAUUAACUAACUUCCAGCUCUUGGGAUGGAAAACUCAUUUGUUUUUAAAAGUAGACCAUUUGUUCAGUUAAAGAAAAUUUGAACUGAGACUGAGACAAGCAUUAUAUACUUAAUGCUUGAAAACUAAAAAACAAUGCACAAACAUAACAAAGUAAUUUACAUAUACUGUAUAUAUAUUUACAUGCAAAUAUAAAAUACAAAACAGUUUACAUAUAUAUGUAUUUGGCAGCCCUGUGAGACAUCCGUAGACAACUGUUAAAUCUUCUUAGUCUUCUUACCUUUAGCACAAACAUGAUCAGUUCUUUAAAGAAGUCCUCACUUGCAGUGACUUCCAGACUCCUUAUUAUCUUAUUUGCUAUUUUCUGAACCCCCUGGAAUUGACCUGAAGGUUACUAGUUCCUAAAAGGUGACUCCCAAGGUUGGUUUUCUGAACAGGCACCAGCCCCUAGAGAGCACUGCCUCAUUCUGAGAGGCAUCCACUCUGCCUCUUUCUUAUCCACUUGCUCCAAGGAGUCUGUUAGAAAGCAAGCAGGGCUUUAGGUCUUCUGGAUGGAACCCCAUUCUUCACAUGUUUCUAGAUAGCUGGUGUGAAGACUGAAGCCUGAGUAACAGGUGUAUUUUUGAAUCUUAAUCCUCUGUAUCUUUCCACUUGGCUUGGAUCUCUGAAAGCCAAAUCUAGUCAGUUUUCUUAGAUACUAAAACUUGUUCACAUCGUUUGGUUUGCUCUGAUACCAUGGUUUCUGACCUCAUCUUUGCCCUCAGAAUUCCCGUAAUGUUCUGCUCGGAGUGCCCAAGUCCCAGGCCUCAUUUCUUAGUAUUGCUCAUUUUGUAGCUACUCAAGCUUGGAACAGCAGUCCCUCCUUCCUCCCAAUUUUGCCAACCCUUAAUAGCGGUACAAUUCAUUUCACAUUUAAAAUACACAGCUUGUUGGAGUUCCCAUUGUGGCUCCGUGGUUAGCGAACCCGACUAGCAUCCAUGAGGAUGCGGGUUCAAUCCCUGGCCUCACUCAGUGGUUAAGGAUCCGGUGUUGCUGUGGUAUAGGUGACAGACUUGGCUCAGAUCCCAUGUUGUUGUGGCUGUGGCGUAGGUCAGUAGCUACAGCUCUGAUUGGACCCCUAGCCUGGGAACCUCCAUAUGCCAUGGGUGCAGCCCUAGAAAAGACAAAACGACCCCCCCCCAAAAAAAAUACACAGGCUUGUAUAGUCAGUUACCUUUAUAAGUGCACAUCUUGUUUGUCCAGCUGGAUUAUAUAUAGUCUAUAUGUAGGAACUAGAAUAUUUUGCAUCUUGGUUUUUAAUACGACGCCUAGUGUACAUGCUUGGACCAAUUCCAUGCUUCAUAUUUGUAGAGCUAAAGGAAUGGCAAGGUAUUCCCUCUACCUUAAUGUACUUUGGAAACUUUUGAGGACUAAUCACUAUAUUUAUGCUUUGAAUAAUUUCUUUCCUCUUCACUGACUUUGUACAUUGUGUAAUAUACAAGGCAUCCGUAUAAUUUGGGUUGUCAGGAAAAUUAUGACUAAGUUCACUUAUAUAUUAGCUCGUUGUUUCCCUUACUCCCCUCAAUGCUUAUUUCCUAUUUCCAUUUCUAUGAUAUUAAUUUUACCUUAUGCUUCUUUCUUAUUUUUUAGUAAGGCAUUUUAAAGCCCCUUUGAGGAGAAGGGAUAUUAUGAAUAUACUUGCGUAAGGCUCUUUUUAAUAGAAAUAGAAUUAUUUUUAUUAAUUUUCCAUUUAGACAUUUAGAAAGUAUGAUUGGAACUGAACUGGAGAAGAUGUAAGAGGCAGCGAAGGUCUGGAGGCCUGUCCGCUAAAGAAAUAUUCAUUUAUUUUUGCAAAACACACUGAUUAUGUUUUUUUUUUUUUAAAGCAGUGGAAUCUAAGGUGAACCAAAUAACUGGAAUGUCAGAUGGAAAAGAGACUAAAAGAUUCAUGUAUUUCAAAUAAUGCUGCUAAAUUACUCAGAAUAGAGUCAUCUGGACAAAGUCCAAAUUAAUAUGUGAAAGAACGGCAAGUAAUUUCCUUAGAGUAUACCUAAGGAAUACAUUAUCUUCCAGGAUGGACAAAAUAUGAAAAAUACUGAACCUAAAUUAACGUUAAUGACUCUGAGGGACAUAGCGUGACUAUAAAAUUUUAAAUAGAAGAUUUGUGUGUUGUUUUUGAAGUUCUUAUUUAUUUAGGUAUCCUACCUCCUUUAUACCAUGAUGAUGUGACAAGGUGAAAAUGGUGAGUUUCCUAUAAUCAGUGCUGGAGUAUAGAAUAUAUCCCCUACCCACAUUUCAUAGGGAUUUGUUUUAUACUCCUGAUUUUAGCACUUGAGACCAAUAUAUUGGUCUCUAAUAGAUUCAACAAAGUAUUUAUAUUUAAGAGACACAAAUAAAUAAGACGUAGUAAUUGACUUUGGAGAACUUACCAUGUAUUGGGGAACUCACAGUCUGGAAUUAAUCUAGUUACAUCAGGUGCAUUCAUCUUGCGGGUUCACAUAUAUACCCAAGAGCAGUAUGAUAUCUUUGAAUCUUUCUGUUGUGCUGGGUAGCAGUAACAACCCACAGAAAAAUAAUCAGGCUUCUAACCAGAUGGUAUAUAUUGCUGUCAAACUUUUGAGGUAAUCCUGCCAUGAAUUUGCAGUGUAUAAUGUCAGAAAAAGGAAUCACAACCUGAAAGGAAUUAGAAAUGAAUUUAAGAAAAUGAAUUGCUGUCUUACCUGAUACACAGGUAAUUCUCAGAGUGACUGACCAAGUGUGAUCCAAAGACUUCGUGUUCCACAAAUACUUAAUGUUUGAUUGAUCGGGGUAGGGGAGCCCCAAGUCUGUUGGAACUUUGAGAACAGGGUCUCUAGACCACAGCAGUUUAUAAAAUCAGUUCAUGUGUACAUUGUAUAAGGAGUUCCCCUCUUUAAAAGUUUUAUUGAAUUAUAGCUGAUUUACAAUGUUGGGAUAGUUUCCUCUGUGCAACAAAGUGAUUCAGCUGUACAUAUACACAUAUCUAUUUUUCAUCCAGAGUCUUUUCCCAUCUAGGUUAUUACAGGAUUUUGAGUAGCAUUCCCUGUGACAUUCAGCAGAUCCCUGUUGACCACCAUUCCAUAUGCAAUAGUGUGCAUAUGCCAAUCCUGAACCCCCAGUUCAUCCCCCACUCACCUGUCCUUUGUGGUAACCAUAAGUUUGUUUUUGAAGUCUGUGAAUAUAUUUCUAUUUUGUAAACAAGCUCAUUUUUAUCAUUUUAAAAAGAUUCCACAUAUAAGUGAUAUUGUAUGGUGUUUCUUUCUCUGACUUCACUUAGUAUGAUAAUCUCUAGGUUCAUCCAUGUUGCGGCAAAUGGCAUUAUUUAAUUUUUUAUAUGGCUGAGUAAUAUUCCAUUGCAUAUAUAUAUGCUACAUCUUUAUAUAUGUAGUAUAUGUAUAUACUACAUCUUCUUUAUCCAGUCCUCUGUUGGUGGACAUUUAGGUUGCUUCCAUUGUCUUGGCUAUUGCAAAUAGUGCUGCAAUGAACAUUGGGGUGCAUGCAUCAUUUUGAAUUAUGGUUUUCUCCAGAUAAGUACCCAGGAGUGAGAUUGCUGGAUCAUAUGGUGAUUCUAUUUUUAGUUUUUUGAGGAACCUCCAUACUGUUGUCCAUAGUGGUUGUACCAACGUAUAUUUCCACCAUCAGUGUAGAAGGGUUUUAUACAGAAUCCAAAUCCAUGUAGCACGCCUACAUUGCCCCCAGUUACAGAAGACAUCUAGGAUGGAAUUUCUCAAAGAUGCUGCUGGCCUUUUCAAAUGACUACAGUCACUGACUUUGUGAAGAGAAUGUCCUGAAGGUGCUCUCCUGAGAGGGGUUAGAUGGAAGUUCUUGAACCAUAUACAGUCAAUCUAUUUUAGUAGGAAAAAUAAAGAAAAAAUUCAGAAUGCAGUGACCUUCAUGGGCAACUGGCACCUAAUAUUUCUGGGGAUUUCUGGGAGAUGGAGUACAUAUGGAACCCCUCAGAAUGGUCUUAUCCAAGGAAUGAGGGGGCUGAGGGACUAUUUUCUAACUCUCAAGUGUGGUUGAAGGCUAGGGACAUUGACUCCCUAGCACAUCAGGCCAUCUUAGCUGGCCCUCAAAAUGCCCCCAGGUGAAGAGUUUACAGGUGCUUGUAGUUGGAUACCUUUGGGUGCCAAAGGAUGUGGGCAAAACCUCAAUAAAUUUCAGCUGGACAAAUAAACCCAUCCAAAAUUCUUUAGGAUUUGGCUCUCAAGAUCACAUACUUGAUGAUAUUUGUAAUUCUUGUUAUCAGUGGAGAAUUGAGAAGUGAAUGGAAGGAUCAUUUAAUACCAAUAUAGGAAUGCUUCAUUCACCGGACUAUGACUAUACAUGACCAUGAGCGUAAGGAAUUUGUAUCUUUUGAUGACUGUGAUACUCCUACUAUCGGGUAGAAUACCUAAAUAAUUUUUGUUUGACAGCAUUUAUAAUGUCUACUUUCUCCCAGUGUUGAAAUGGAAAGUAUCUCUCUAGUUUUUAAAAUCAUGGUUCAGAGCUUUCUACAAAGUAUUACUCUUUUAACCUGGCCUUGUUUAAAAGUAGGCACUCAAUAUUAUUAGUAGAAUGAAUAAAUGAGCUAGAGAAAGUAAUUAGUACGUACUGUUACAUUUUUAGUCAAGCUAUAUUUAUUUCAACAAAUUUUA